AAAUGACCAUUAAGAAGUAGAUGCCCAGAUGCAAAAGUGAUGAAACAGUCAAUUUGUCAUAAAGUAAGAUGCAGCUGUGGCUUUUCAACCAGAUUAGGACAAAAUUGUAUCUAUUUUUCUCAGAAGAGAAUUCCACAAGGCUCCUGUUGUUGCAGGAAGGCAGACCCCUUAAAGGGCCCAAAACUGGGCUCUUGUCUAACACUCGGAAAUGAAUUGUCUGAGGAAACACAUGUGCUGACAAAGCAAGAGACUUUAUUGGGAAAGGGCACCCGGGCGGAGAGCAGGGUAAGGAAACCCAGGAGAACUGCUCUGCCGUGUGGCUUGCAAUGUCGGGUUUUAUGAUGAUGGGAUUAGUUUCCAAGUGCUCUUUGACCAAUCAUUCUAAUUCAGAGUCUUUCCUGGUGGUGCACGCAUCGCUCAGCCAAGAUGGAUGCUAGUGAGAGGGAUUCUGGGAAGUAGACGGACACACAGUGUCUCCUUUAGACCUUUCUCGAACUCUUCCGGUUGGUGGUGGCUUAUUAGUUCUGUAUUCCUUAUCAGGAUCUCCUGUCAUAAAACAACUCAUGCAAAUGGUUACUAUGGUACCUGGCCAGGGUGGGCGGUUUCAAUCACUGUGCUUCCCCUAACACUGUGAUACCUUAUUAUUGGUGAUUUUCUUCCUGCUUCUUAGUGCCUGUUCAAUCUCUUUUGUGGGCUUCUCUUUCUCUGUAGUUUCCUUAAAUGUUGGUGUUUCUGAGUUUCUCUCGGUCUUACUUUUCUUCUCACUGGGGCAAUCUCAUUUUGUCCUCUGCCAUGCAUCCAUAAGCUGAUGACUCUUAGAUCCUUAUCUCCAGUUUAGCUCUUUCUUCUGCCUCUGUACUUGUAUUUGUUUGUUUUUUGAGCAUUUCCACUUGGAUAUAUAGGCAUUACAAUAUGUUCAAAAUUGAGCUAUCUGCUUCUCUAAACCUUGUGUCAUUGCUGUGUUUUCUAGCUGUUUGAAUGGAUGUUAACUAAGUGGAAAUGUAGGUAUUCUCCUUGACUCCUGCUUUUCUUCCCAAUCUAGUUGGUUAGCAAGUAUUGUUGAUGCUUACUUCUGAGUAUUGCUCCAAUCCAUCCUUCUUUCUCCAUCUUCAUUGUUCGCUACUCUAAUUUAGACUCCAGAUUUCUGCAGCAGCCUCUAAACCUGUAAAAAUCAUAUGAGUUAGGCAGUGGUGGUGUUUUUAACUUGCCUGUGGGGAAACAUAGAUUCAGAGAUGUUAAGUAAGAACUCAGCUCUUUCUAAUUCUAAGGCUCAUAUUUGCACUAUGUCAUAGCAUUACCAUAGAUUGAUACUGCCUUCUAAUGGAGGAAUUUAGAAUGCUUGAAAUGAAGCAUUAUUUCAGAUUAUAAUGUGGUAUUUCAAAAUACAUUCAGAAAGCAGACCUGGUGUGGGUCAUUUAUUCAUUAUAUGAGGAUUAAAAUUCUUGCCUUAGAAACAGUUUAUUUUUUUUUAAGCAGGGUUAAUAGUUUCAGAGAAUUCAAAUUUAGAAUUUGCAUACAGAAAAUUAAAAAUUUUAAGGCUCUAACAAGAAUAUUUUAUGAGACUGAUAUUCUUGGGGUGGGGGUUUGGUUUCUUCGUGUUUUGUUUAAGAGAAUUUAAGGUAGAUAACUUCAGCCAGUACUAGUGAAGAAGCAUUUUGAAACUGUGACAGAGGAAAACAUCUUAGAAAUUCUGACUGUUUUCCAUAGAGAUUUGUUUCUCCUCAUUUGUCUUUUUUAAAAAAGAAAGGAGUUGUUCUAGCCAUUGCUUUCAAAUUCUGUUUUAUCGUAAGUUGUGCUCAGAGGGAAUAGCCCCAGUGACCUUAGCUAUAGUUUCGAAUACACCUCUUCAGAAUUCUCUUUAUCACAGAUGAUUGAUAUUCUGAGUUUAAGAUCAAGAUAAAUCUGAAGCAAAAAACUCCACCAAACCUAUAGGGAGAGAGUGCAUAUUGUCUUUGUUAAAGUUGUAGACAGGGACACUAAAAAUUCUAAAUUUGUCUUUCAAAAAUCUUGAUUGAUUUUUUUUUUUCCCCUUAUGUUUCCCAUUUGAAGAUGGAAAAGAUAGUUACCAACAGUCUGCAAUACAAGAUUGUUCUCUGGACAAAUGUUAUCAUGGCUCAAAAGAAUAUUGGGUAUUGGACACUGAAAUCCUGUUGUAUAUUCUAAAUUGCCUCAGUCAUGUUCCAUUCUUUACAACCACAUGGACUGUAGCCCACCAGGCUCCUCUGUCAAUGGGAUUCUCUAGGCAAGAAUACUGGAGUGGGUUGCCAUGCCCUCCUCCAGAAAUCUUCCUGUCCCAGGGAUUGAGCCCACAUCUCUUACAUCUCCUGCAUUGGCAGCCAGGUUCUUUACCACUAGCGCCAUCUUGGAAGCCCCCAAAAUCCUGUUACUUGAUUUUAACUAUGUCUGGUUUAUAGGAAGGCAUAAAGAAAAAGAUAUUUUAAACAUCCUUUCAUUAGUGUUAGUUGAUAGUCUUCAUUGAUUGUGUGGUAUUUCAUUGAUUCCAAGGGACAUUUUCCAGUUUUAUUCACUGAAAUUUGGGUGUAUCUUACAACCAGUGGCAUGCUGUAGUUUGACACCUUCUGUUUCUUGGUGGGAUACAAAAUAGCAGUCUUAAAAUCAGUUGUGUCUCGGUUUUGAUGAAAAUGGUAUAUAUCUUUGUUGGUAUUAGAAGUAAUAACAGUGAUAAUAUUUGCAGUCACCAUUCCUGAAGAUCACUUUUUUGGUAACCUCUACUUUCUUAAACAUGACCAAGAAUUGGAACGUAAGCAGAAGAGUCUUCUGAUGCUUAGAAUUGCCAUUAAGAAGCUUGUGAAGUGAUGACUAUGUUCUUGAACAUAAAAUGUGUGGUCUCUGAGUAGAGGGCCUUUUUUUGUGCCUGUUCCUAAUAGGCACGGGUGUCUGAUUACAGAGUCUAGGAUUUGAAAGAAUAAACUUAACAAAGAAAUGUGUAUACGUGUUUAUUAAGUGACAGCUCUAGGACAUGCUAACUAUCAACUGAGAGUGAAGGUGCCCAUAAAUAAAGAAUUAAAAUCUGUUUUUAAAAAACAACCCCAAACCUAGACAGAAAGCCUGACACACACAAAUUGCCCCGAUUAUAGCUUUAAAGAGGUUCUUUAUCAAAAUUCAGUCUAUUUGAUUCCACUGGCACUUCCCUUUAAGGGACAGAUGUAUUUUGAUUGUUGUUUAAACAUUUAAACAUUUGUUGUUGAUUAAAAUUUCCCCUCUUAUGGCUGAAUGAGAUUGUCAGAAUAUAUUUUACUCUGAAGAUAUUGAAAAUUUUUGUGGUACUCGCCUCUCAGACUUCCAAAAUAGGAUUUGAUUCUGCUAUCUUGAUGGUCUCUGUCCAUGUUGCUGAAUAGCGUCAGAGUACCAUUUUUAGAUCUUUGGGCUAAAGACUGGUCAUAGAUUGUUGGAAGGUCUUAGGAAAGAAUAAGUAGAAAAAUAUAGAGAACACACUGUCAUCCUGAAGUAUUUCUAGAAGUUCUCACUGGGAAGUUGUGCAUGUCCAACUACAUUUUUGUUUGGAAUAAAUCCAGGGUAUAUAUCCUAUAAAUUCCUGGUAUUAGGGGUUCUUUUGUGACACUCCCCUGAGACAUGAAUUCUGAGCAUAACAUUGCUUACUGUGAGCACCUUUGGCCUAAGAGUAGAUGUUAAGCUCUGUGGAUUGGCAGGUUUCCAGCAUUUACUAAUUAGGUAUUGCCUACUUAGAUUCUCCUGGCAAUCUUUCUUGCCACUGUUUAUUCACACUCUGCCCUGACCUGUUUCGUAUAUCUUCUGCCUUUGGGCUCUGCUUAGACAUUUGUAGCUUUUCUUUCUGAAGGAGCCUUUAAUAAGGUAUUGGUUUAUAUAUUUUUUAGUUAACUAUUUAUUGUUAAUUAUAAAAGCAGUUCACAUACUAUAGAAAAUAUGAAGAGAAAAAUGCUUUUCAUCUUACUACUGAGUGAGCCAGUGUUAACAUUUUAAUGUCUUUAGUCUGGUCUUUUUCCCCCUAGGUUUAUGUAUUUUGUUUAGGGGUGAUGGAGAGAAAAGUAAGUGUAAGUGUUAUUUUUUAAAAUGAGAAUCCUCUCAAACUUACUACUGGGCGUGCAAGGUGAUUUUUAAAAUAAAGCUUUUUUUUUUUAGAACAAUUUUAGAAUCACAAAAAAGUUGCAAAGAUAGUACAGUGAUUCUCAUAUAUCUUUUACUCAGUUUUACCUAAUGUUAAUCUUAUAUAACUUAGGUAUACUUGUCAAAACUAAGGAAUUAACACUGGUAUAAAACUAUAAACUACAGACUUUAUUUGGAUUUUUCCAGUUUUCUACUAAUGUCCUUCUCUAUUCCAAGAUUCAGUCCAGAACACCAUAUUGCAUUUUAAAAGAAAGAUUUUCUUUUUUAUUUUUGAAGAUAUUGCUUGGGGUGGUGCACGGGGAUGAUCCAGAGGGAUGAUGUGGGGUGGGAGGUGGGAGGGGGGUUCAUGUUUGGGAGCUCAUGUAGACCCGUGGUGGAUUCAUGUCAAUGUAUGCCAAAACCAAUACAGUAUUGUAAAGUAAAAUAAAGUAAAAAUAAAAAUUUAAAAUAAAUAAAUAAAUAAAAGUUUAAAAAAAAGUAUAAAUUAUCAAGCCUAUUUCUUUAGAUAAUUUGUUUGGACUGAGACAGACACAGAAAGUCAUGAGUGACCUAUUUAUGAAGCAGUUUGUUUUGAGGCGUUUUUUUUUUUUUUACAGUUGCUUGGCAUUUGGUUCAAUAUAUUUUGAGCAAAUUGAAUAUGUGUGUAUGCUUUACAUACAUGCAAUCAAUAUUUAGAUUUUUAAUAAGUCUAGUAACUAGUAUGAUA
RNAcentral lists this long non-coding RNA (4813 nucleotides) under Capra hircus (goat). Its description in RNAcentral is "lncRNA (ENSCHIG00000001512.1)". Lineage: Eukaryota; Metazoa; Chordata; Mammalia; Artiodactyla; Bovidae. The record is from RNAcentral.